Molecule: ribosomal RNA, 478 nt
Filed under: uncultured bacterium
Lineage: Bacteria
Description: partial 16S ribosomal RNA
Rfam family: Bacterial small subunit ribosomal RNA
Source: RNAcentral
GACGAACGCUGGCGGCGUGCUUAACACAUGCAAGUCGAACGGUAAGGCCCUUCGGGGUACACGAGCGGCGAACGGGUGGGUAACACGUGGGUGAUCUGCCCUGCACUUCGGGAUAAGCCUGGGAAACUGGGGCUAAUACCGGGUAGGACCAAUGCCUGCAUGGGUGGUGGUGGAAAGCUUUUGCGGUGUGGGAUGGGCCCGCGGCCUAUCAGCUUGUUGGUGGGGUGAUGGCCGACCAAGGCGACGACGGGUAGCCGGCCUGAGCGGGUGACCGGCCACACUGGGACGGAGACACGGCCCAGACUCCUGCGGGAGGCAGCAGUGGGGAAGAGUGCACAAUGGGCGCAAGCCUGUUGCAGGGACGCCGCGUGAGGGAUGACGGCCUUCGGGUUGUAAACCUCUUUCAGCAGCGACGAAGCGCAAGUGACGGUAGGUGCAGAAGAAGGACCGGCCAACUACGUGCCAGCCGCCGCGGUAA